RNAcentral lists this ribosomal RNA (253 nucleotides) under uncultured bacterium. RNAcentral's name for it is "partial 16S ribosomal RNA". It matches the Rfam family "Bacterial small subunit ribosomal RNA", at positions 524 to 776 of the family's 1533-position model. The record is from RNAcentral.
UACGAAGGGUGCAAGCGUUACUCGGAAUUACUGGGCGUAAAGCGUGCGUAGGUGGUUUGUUAAGUCUGAUGUGAAAGCCCUGGGCUCAACCUGGGAAUUGCAUUGGAUACUGGCAGGCUAGAGUGCGGUAGAGGGUAGUGGAAUUCCCGGUGUAGCAGUGAAAUGCGUAGAGAUCGGGAGGAACACCAGUGGCGAAGGCGAGUCCCUAGACACUUCCUGACACUGAGGCACGAAAGCUAGGGGAGCAAACAGG